GUGUAGCUUAUUGGUAGAGUACUUGUCUAACAUGCGAGAAGCCCUGGGUUCAAUCCCAGCAC
Molecule: transfer RNA, 62 nt
Filed under: Mus musculus (house mouse)
Lineage: Eukaryota; Metazoa; Chordata; Mammalia; Rodentia; Muridae
Rfam family: tRNA
About the family: Transfer RNA (tRNA) molecules are approximately 80 nucleotides in length. Their secondary structure includes four short double-helical elements and three loops (D, anti-codon, and T loops).
Source: Rfam by way of RNAcentral